RNAcentral lists this transfer RNA (57 nucleotides) under Rattus norvegicus (Norway rat). It matches the Rfam family "tRNA", at positions 8 to 63 of the family's 71-position model. From Rfam's summary of the family: Transfer RNA (tRNA) molecules are approximately 80 nucleotides in length. Their secondary structure includes four short double-helical elements and three loops (D, anti-codon, and T loops). Further hydrogen bonds mediate the characteristic L-shaped molecular structure. tRNAs have two regions of fundamental functional importance: the anti-codon, which is responsible for specific mRNA codon recognition, and the 3' end, to which the tRNAs corresponding amino acid is attached (by aminoacyl-tRNA synthetases). tRNAs cope with the degeneracy of the genetic code in two manners: having more than one tRNA (with a specific anti-codon) for a particular amino acid; and 'wobble' base-pairing, i.e. permitting non-standard base-pairing at the 3rd anti-codon position. The record is from Rfam by way of RNAcentral. Lineage: Eukaryota; Metazoa; Chordata; Mammalia; Rodentia; Muridae.
UAGCUCAGUGGUAGAGCGCUUGCCUAGGAAGCACGAGGCCCUGGGUUCGGUCCCCAG